GUUGAGGUUUUACUAAAAACCAUCGAAUAUUUAAUUAACAGGUAUAG
This is a non-coding RNA of Trichoplax adhaerens, 47 nucleotides long. The record is from Rfam. Lineage: Eukaryota; Metazoa; Placozoa; Uniplacotomia; Trichoplacea; Trichoplacidae.